Molecule: ribosomal RNA, 219 nt
Filed under: uncultured bacterium
Lineage: Bacteria
Description: partial 16S ribosomal RNA
Rfam family: Bacterial small subunit ribosomal RNA
Source: RNAcentral
UAAUACGGAGGGUGCGAGCGUUGUUCGGAAUUACUGGGCGUAAAGCGCGUGCAGGCGGCCGACUAAGUCAGGUGUGAAAGCCCGGGGCUCACCUCCGGAAGUGCGCUUGAAACUGGUCGGCUAGAGUACGGGAGAGGGAAGCGGAAUUCCUGGUGUAGCGGUGAAAUGCGUAGAUAUCAGGAGGAACACCGGCGGCGAAGGCGGCUUCCUGGACCGAUA